This 2905-nucleotide ribosomal RNA is filed under the name Enterobacter hormaechei. RNAcentral's name for it is "23S ribosomal RNA". It matches the Rfam family "Bacterial large subunit ribosomal RNA". Lineage: Bacteria; Pseudomonadati; Pseudomonadota; Gammaproteobacteria; Enterobacterales; Enterobacteriaceae. The record is from RNAcentral.
GGUUAAGCGACUAAGCGUACACGGUGGAUGCCCUGGCAGUCAGAGGCGAUGAAGGACGUGCUAAUCUGCGAAAAGCGCCGGCGAGGUGAUAUGAACCCUUGACCCGGCGAUGUCCGAAUGGGGAAACCCAGUGUGUUCCGACACACUAUCGUUAACUGAAUACAUAGGUUAACGAGGCGAACCGGGGGAACUGAAACAUCUAAGUACCCCGAGGAAAAGAAAUCAACCGAGAUUCCCCCAGUAGCGGCGAGCGAACGGGGAGCAGCCCGGAGUCUGAAUCAGCUUGUGUGUUAGUGGAACGGUCUGGAAAGUCCGACGGUACAGGGUGAUAGUCCCGUACACGAAAAUGCACUUGCUGUGAACUCGAAGAGUAGGGCGGGACACGUGGUAUCCUGUCUGAAUAUGGGGGGACCAUCCUCCAAGGCUAAAUACUCCUGACUGACCGAUAGUGAACCAGUACCGUGAGGGAAAGGCGAAAAGAACCCCGGCGAGGGGAGUGAAAAAGAACCUGAAACCGUGUACGUACAAGCAGUGGGAGCCUCUUUAUGGGGUGACUGCGUACCUUUUGUAUAAUGGGUCAGCGACUUAUAUUCUGUAGCAAGGUUAACCGUAUAGGGGAGCCGAAGGGAAACCGAGUCUUAACUGGGCGUUAAGUUGCAGGGUAUAGACCCGAAACCCGGUGAUCUAGCCAUGGGCAGGUUGAAGGUUGGGUAACACUAACUGGAGGACCGAACCGACUAAUGUUGAAAAAUUAGCGGAUGACCUGUGGCUGGGGGUGAAAGGCCAAUCAAACCGGGAGAUAGCUGGUUCUCCCCGAAAGCUAUUUAGGUAGCGCCUCGUGAACUCAUCUUCGGGGGUAGAGCACUGUUUCGGCUAGGGGGCCAUCCCGGCUUACCAACCCGAUGCAAACUACGAAUACCGAAGAAUGUUAUCACGGGAGACACACGGCGGGUGCUAACGUCCGUCGUGAAGAGGGAAACAACCCAGACCGCCAGCUAAGGUCCCAAAGUCAUGGUUAAGUGGGAAACGAUGUGGGAAGGCACAGACAGCCAGGAUGUUGGCUUAGAAGCAGCCAUCAUUUAAAGAAAGCGUAAUAGCUCACUGGUCGAGUCGGCCUGCGCGGAAGAUGUAACGGGGCUAAACCAUGCACCGAAGCUGCGGCAGCGACGCUUAUGCGUUGUUGGGUAGGGGAGCGUUCUGUAAGCCGUUGAAGGUGUGCUGUGAGGCAUGCUGGAGGUAUCAGAAGUGCGAAUGCUGACAUAAGUAACGAUAAAGCGGGUGAAAAGCCCGCUCGCCGGAAGACCAAGGGUUCCUGUCCAACGUUAAUCGGGGCAGGGUGAGUCGACCCCUAAGGCGAGGCCGAAAGGCGUAGUCGAUGGGAAACAGGUUAAUAUUCCUGUACUUGGUGUUACUGCGAAGGGGGGACGGAGAAGGCUAUGUCAGCCGGGCGACGGUUGUCCCGGUUUAAGCAUGUAGGCGGAGGUUCCAGGUAAAUCCGGUACCUUUUAACGCUGAGGUGUGAUGACGAGGCACUACGGUGCUGAAGUGAUAAAUGCCCUGCUUCCAGGAAAAGCCUCUAAGCAUCAGGUAACACGAAAUCGUACCCCAAACCGACACAGGUGGUCAGGUAGAGAAUACCAAGGCGCUUGAGAGAACUCGGGUGAAGGAACUAGGCAAAAUGGUGCCGUAACUUCGGGAGAAGGCACGCUGAUAUGUAGGUGAAGCCCCUGCGGGCGGAGCUGAAAUCAGUCGAAGAUACCAGCUGGCUGCAACUGUUUAUUAAAAACACAGCACUGUGCAAACACGAAAGUGGACGUAUACGGUGUGACGCCUGCCCGGUGCCGGAAGGUUAAUUGAUGGGGUUAGCGGCAACGCGAAGCUCUUGAUCGAAGCCCCGGUAAACGGCGGCCGUAACUAUAACGGUCCUAAGGUAGCGAAAUUCCUUGUCGGGUAAGUUCCGACCUGCACGAAUGGCGUAAUGAUGGCCAGGCUGUCUCCACCCGAGACUCAGUGAAAUUGAACUCGCUGUGAAGAUGCAGUGUACCCGCGGCAAGACGGAAAGACCCCGUGAACCUUUACUAUAGCUUGACACUGAACACUGGUCCUUGAUGUGUAGGAUAGGUGGGAGGCUUUGAAGCGUGGACGCCAGUCUGCGUGGAGCCGUCCUUGAAAUACCACCCUUUAAUGGCUGGUGUUCUAACGUAGACCCGUGAUCCGGGUUGCGGACAGUGUCUGGUGGGUAGUUUGACUGGGGCGGUCUCCUCCCAAAGAGUAACGGAGGAGCACGAAGGUUGGCUAAUCCUGGUCGGACAUCAGGAGGUUAGUGCAAUGGCAUAAGCCAGCUUGACUGCGAGCGUGACGGCGCGAGCAGGUGCGAAAGCAGGUCAUAGUGAUCCGGUGGUUCUGAAUGGAAGGGCCAUCGCUCAACGGAUAAAAGGUACUCCGGGGAUAACAGGCUGAUACCGCCCAAGAGUUCAUAUCGACGGCGGUGUUUGGCACCUCGAUGUCGGCUCAUCACAUCCUGGGGCUGAAGUAGGUCCCAAGGGUAUGGCUGUUCGCCAUUUAAAGUGGUACGCGAGCUGGGUUUAGAACGUCGUGAGACAGUUCGGUCCCUAUCUGCCGUGGGCGCUGGAGAAUUGAGGGGGGCUGCUCCUAGUACGAGAGGACCGGAGUGGACGCAUCACUGGUGUUCGGGUUGUCAUGCCAAUGGCACUGCCCGGUAGCUAAAUGCGGAAGAAAUAAGUGCUGAAAGCAUCUAAGCACGAAACUUGCCCCGAGAUGAGUUCUCCCUGAGACCUUGAGUCUCCUGAAGGAACGUUGAAGACGACGACGUUGAUAGGUCGGGUGUGUAAGCGCAGCGAUGCGUUGAGCUAACCGAUACUAAUGAACCGUGAGGCUUAACCUU